This 27-nucleotide non-coding RNA is filed under the name Mus musculus (house mouse). Lineage: Eukaryota; Metazoa; Chordata; Mammalia; Rodentia; Muridae. The record is from RNAcentral.
UACUCAUUGGACCUAAACAGGCUGCCC